This 464-nucleotide ribosomal RNA is filed under the name uncultured bacterium. RNAcentral describes it as "partial 16S ribosomal RNA". It matches the Rfam family "Bacterial small subunit ribosomal RNA", at positions 28 to 507 of the family's 1533-position model. The record is from RNAcentral.
GACGAACGCUGCGGCGUGCUUAACACAUGCAAGUCGUACGGUAAGGCCCUUUCGGGGGUACACGAGUGGCGAACGGGUGAGUAACACGUGAGUAACCUGCCCACAACUUUGGGAUAACGCUAGGAAACUGGUGCUAAUACUGGAUAUGUGCUCCUGCUGCAUGGUGGGGGUUGGAAAGCUCCGGCGGUUGUGGAUGGACUCGCGGCCUAUCAGCUUGUUGGUGGGGUAGUGGCCUACCAAGGCGGCGACGGGUAGCCGGCCUGAGAGGGUGACCGGCCACAUUGGGACUGAGAUACGGCCCAGACUCCUACGGGAGGCAGCAGUGGGGAAUAUUGCACAAUGGGCGCAAGCCUGAUGCAGCAACGCCGCGUGCGGGAUGACGGCCUUCGGGUUGUAAACCGCUUUCAGCAGGGACGAAGCUUUUUGUGACGGUACCUGCAGAAGAAGCACCGGCUAACUACGUG